GAUGAACGCUGGCGGCGUGCUUAACACAUGCAAGUCGAACGAAGCACUUUAUUUGAUUUCCUUCGGGACUGAUUAUUUUGUGACUGAGUGGCGGACGGGUGAGUAACGCGUGGGUAACCUGCCUUGUACAGGGGGAUAACAGUUGGAAACGGCUGCUAAUACCGCAUAAGCGCACAGCAUCGCAUGAUGCAGUGUGAAAAACUCCUGUGGUAUAAGAUGGACCCGCGUUGGAUUAGCUAGUUGGUGAGGUAACGGCCCACCAAGGCGACGAUCCAUAGCCGACCUGAUAGGGUGACCGGCCACAUUGGGACUGAGACACGGCCCAAACUCCUACGGGAGGCAGCAGUGGGGAAUAUUGCACAAUGGGCGAAAGCCUGAUGCAGCGACGCCGCGUGAGCGAAGAAGUAUUUCGGUAUGUAAAGCUCUAUCAGCAGGGAAGAUAAUGACGUUACCUGACUAAGAAGCACCGGCUAAAUACGUG
RNAcentral lists this ribosomal RNA (481 nucleotides) under uncultured bacterium. Its description in RNAcentral is "partial 16S ribosomal RNA". It matches the Rfam family "Bacterial small subunit ribosomal RNA", at positions 28 to 507 of the family's 1533-position model. The record is from RNAcentral.